UCUGGGACUGGACCUUCGAGUUGAUUGAAAGAAAGGUUUAGUCGUUUCAAGGAUGAAAAAUUUGCAUAACUCUUGGGGAUCGUGCCAUUGAGCCUGUUUUGAGAAAGAUCAAGGGAGCUGAGGUGCUCCAAAUCUGCCAAAUUUUCAGGUACCUCACCAUCCAACAAAUUCCUUGACAGAUUCAAACUUGUAAGCAUAUUAACUUUAUCAAAAAUUUUACCAGGUAUUGGACCAGCAAGUUUGUUCCCCGACAGGUCAAGAGAAUACAAGUUUCUGCAGCCUUUGAGAGUUUCAGGUAUGUUUCCCGACAGAUUAUUGUUCGAGAUGUCAAUGACUUGUACCAUUUCCAACAUGCCAAGCUCAUCUGGAAU
RNAcentral lists this long non-coding RNA (371 nucleotides) under Actinidia chinensis (golden kiwifruit). RNAcentral describes it as "long non-coding RNA (ACHI_LNC002872)". Lineage: Eukaryota; Viridiplantae; Streptophyta; Magnoliopsida; Ericales; Actinidiaceae. The record is from RNAcentral.